Molecule: transfer RNA, 73 nt
Filed under: Canis lupus familiaris (dog)
Lineage: Eukaryota; Metazoa; Chordata; Mammalia; Carnivora; Canidae
Also listed under: 1 other name
Rfam family: tRNA
About the family: Transfer RNA (tRNA) molecules are approximately 80 nucleotides in length. Their secondary structure includes four short double-helical elements and three loops (D, anti-codon, and T loops).
Source: Rfam by way of RNAcentral
GCCUGGUUGGCUCAGUUGGAAGAGCAUGGGACUCCUGAUCUCAGGGUGGUGGGUCUCAGCCCCACAAUGGGUG